GACGAACGCUGGCGGCGUGCUUAACACAUGCAAGUCGAGCGGUAAGGCCCUUUCGGGGGUACACGAGCGGCGAACGGGUGAGUAACACGUGGGUGACCUGCCCUCAGCUCUGGGAUAAGCCCGGGAAACUGGGUCUAAUACUGGAUAUGACUCCACGGUGCAUGCCCGUGGGGUGGAAAGCCUUGUGCGGCUGAGGAUGGGCCCGCGGCCUAUCAGCUUGUUGGUGGGGUGAUGGCCUACCAAGGCGACGACGGGUAGCCGGCCUGAGAGGGCGACCGGCCACACUGGGACUGAGACACGGCCCAGACUCCUACGGGAGGCAGCAGUGGGGAAUCUUGCG
RNAcentral lists this ribosomal RNA (340 nucleotides) under uncultured bacterium. RNAcentral describes it as "bacterial SSU rRNA". It matches the Rfam family "Bacterial small subunit ribosomal RNA", at positions 28 to 368 of the family's 1533-position model. The record is from RNAcentral.